RNAcentral lists this ribosomal RNA (883 nucleotides) under Poaceicola arundinis. RNAcentral describes it as "eukaryotic LSU rRNA". It matches the Rfam family "Eukaryotic large subunit ribosomal RNA", at positions 39 to 940 of the family's 3401-position model. Lineage: Eukaryota; Fungi; Ascomycota; Dothideomycetes; Pleosporales; Phaeosphaeriaceae. RNAcentral also lists the same sequence under 2 other names. The record is from RNAcentral.
CAUAUCAAUAAGCGGAGGAAAAGAAACCAACAGGGAUUGCCCUAGUAACGGCGAGUGAAGCGGCAACAGCUCAAAUUUGAAAUCUGGCUCUUUUAGGGUCCGAGUUGUAAUUUGCAGAGAGCGCUUUGGCGUUGGCAGCGGUCCAAGUUCUUUGGAACAGGACGUCACAGAGGGUGAGAAUCCCGUACGUGGUCGCUAGCCUUCGCCGUGUAAAGCCUCUUCGACGAGUCGAGUUGUUUGGGAAUGCAGCUCUAAAUGGGAGGUAAAUUUCUUCUAAAGCUAAAUACUGGCCAGAGACCGAUAGCGCACAAGUAGAGUGAUCGAAAGAUGAAAAGCACUUUGGAAAGAGAGUCAAAUAGCACGUGAAAUUGUUGAAAGGGAAGCGCUUGCAGCCAGACUUGCCUGUAGUUGCUUAUCCGGACUUUUGUCCGGUGCACUCUUCUGCGGGCAGGCCAGCAUCAGUUUAGGCGGUUGGAUAAAGGUCUCUAUCACGUACCUCCCUUCGGGGUUGGCCUUAUAGGGGAGACGACAUGCAGCCAGCCUGAACUGAGGUCCGCGCAUCUGCUAGGAUGCUGGCGUAAUGGCUGUAAGCGGCCCGUCUUGAAACACGGACCAAGGAGUCUAACAUCUAUGCGAGUGUUUGGGUGUCAAGCCCAGACGCGUAAUGAAAGUGAACGGAGGUGGGAACCUUUUAGGUGCACCAUCGACCGAUCCUGAUGUCUUCGGAUGGAUUUGAGUAAGAGCAUGGCUGUUGGGACCCGAAAGAUGGUGAACUAUGCUUGAAUAGGGUGAAGCCAGAGGAAACUCUGGUGGAGGCUCGCAGCGGUUCUGACGUGCAAAUCGAUCGUCAAAUUUGGGCAUAGGGGCGAAAGACUAAUCGAAC